GUGUGUUGCGCAUGUACUUUGGGUGGUGCUGUGCUGCAUCAGCUGGAAGGGAUCCAGAGAAAAAGACACAGUCCUCUUUGAAGACACCCAGAGACAGUGGAGCAAGUUGGGACUUGCAGGUGACCAAGAAGGGGGAUCUGAGAACCGGAAUCGUCUCCCCUGGCUCUCCGGAAGUGGAAGCAGAGUCAUUGCUGGUUGGUGCCAGCCCUCAGACUUGCUGCUUUGCAGUAGGAAGAAAGCCUCCCCACACACCUUCCCACACUCAUCACCUUGAGCCAGACUCGAUGUCCAGUGAAUAUGACCAUCUCCUGCCCAUUUUCUAAUGAAUGUUUUCAUUAAUGAUUUAUAAGAAUGUGGUGGGUAAAUCUAUGGGCUUUGAAGCUAGUGAAUCAACUUGGUUUCAGAAUCUGGCACUGCUACUUACUAUGUGAAUUUAAGCAAGUUAUUUCACCUUUCAGUGUCAGUUCCCUCAUG
RNAcentral lists this long non-coding RNA (474 nucleotides) under Rhinopithecus bieti (black snub-nosed monkey). RNAcentral describes it as "lncRNA (ENSRBIG00000046478.1)". The record is from RNAcentral. Lineage: Eukaryota; Metazoa; Chordata; Mammalia; Primates; Cercopithecidae.